CAUCAAUUAAUGUUAGACGAUUUUUAUUACCUUGUUUUGGAAUGUUAUGGUCUUCUAAUAAUAUGCCCAUUGAGCUAGAGCUUCCAAUGACGUUUUUGCAUAGAAUCCCCUAAACUUGCACUUUAAGCAAAAUUUAGGAAGCCUGGAGAACAAAUAUAUUAUAUUCACACUGUAAUACUAUUUUAAAUAACUAGUGAAUAUUUUUGAUUUACUUUAUCAUGAAGAUUUACUUUGAUUAAAGCAAAACUACCUGGAAGAAUAAAGCAAUGAGAGAGCAAAACAGAGAUAAAGAUCCAAAACUUACCACUGUGAAAAUGUGUUCACAUGUAUCUGCCCUAGAAUGCAAGCCACUUGGGGGUAAGACAGUUCAUCACAGUCCUUUGUACAAAUGUCUUCUGAAAGACAGCUUAUGGCUUUCUGAGUCAAUUAAAAACAAAAAAUUGGUAGCUUACACUAAAUAUUUCAAUUGUUUUAUUCAUUUUGACUAGUGAGUGGUUGAACUGUGCAACAUUUACAGUUGUAUUUUUAAAAUAUUAUUAAGAAUUAAGCAAAAAGCAUGAAUUAAAGACCAAUUAGAUUUAUGGAAAUAAGUAUGAUGAUUCUACCAUUACAGAUACAUGAAUUCAAAUUGAAUGAAAAACAUAACAGCUAAACAGUAGGACUAAGAAGUUAAUCAUCCUGACUCUCUUAAAUAUACA
This 698-nucleotide long non-coding RNA is filed under the name Bos taurus (domestic cattle). Its description in RNAcentral is "long non-coding RNA NONBTAT016421". Lineage: Eukaryota; Metazoa; Chordata; Mammalia; Artiodactyla; Bovidae. The record is from RNAcentral.